Molecule: ribosomal RNA, 244 nt
Filed under: uncultured bacterium
Lineage: Bacteria
Description: partial 16S ribosomal RNA
Rfam family: Bacterial small subunit ribosomal RNA
Source: RNAcentral
AUACGGAGGGUGCAAGCGUUAAUCGGAAUCACUGGGCGUAAAGCGCGCGUAGGCCGCCUUUAUAGGCGAUGAAAGCCCUCGGCUCAACCGAGGAACUGCGUUCGAAACUGGGAGGCUUGAGUCCUGGAGAGGGUGGCGGAAUUCCGGGUGUAGGAGUGAAAUCCGUAGAUAUCCGGAGGAACACCGGUGGCGAAGGCGGCCACCUGGACAGGUACUGACGCUGAGGCGCGAAAGCGUGGGGAGC